ACUUGUAUGAAUGGUUGGACGAAAUAAAGGCUGUCUUUAUUUAAAUUAUAGUAGAAUUUAACUUUUAAGUCAAAAGGCUUAAAUGUUUAUAAAAGACGAGAAGACCCUAUAGAUCUUUAUUUAAUUGAGGCUUUAUUAGCUUAGGAUUAUUUUGAUUUAAAGUUUUAAUUAAAUUUUAUUGGGGUAAUAUAAAGAUUAAAAAAAUUCUUUUAAUUUAUUACAUUAAUUUAUGAAUACAUGAUCCAAUAAUAUUGAUUAUAAGAUUAAGUUACCUUAGGGAUAACAGCGUAAUUUUUUUGGAGAGCUCAUAUCGAUAAAAAAGUUUGCGACCUCGAUGUUGGAUUAAAAAUUAUUUUGGGUGC
This 362-nucleotide ribosomal RNA is filed under the name Neocicindela tuberculata. Its description in RNAcentral is "partial 16S ribosomal RNA". The record is from RNAcentral. Lineage: Eukaryota; Metazoa; Arthropoda; Insecta; Coleoptera; Carabidae.